This 461-nucleotide ribosomal RNA is filed under the name uncultured bacterium. RNAcentral's name for it is "SSU rRNA". It matches the Rfam family "Bacterial small subunit ribosomal RNA", at positions 26 to 518 of the family's 1533-position model. The record is from RNAcentral.
AGAAUCAACGCUGGCGGCGUGCCUAACACAUGCAAGUCGAACGAGAAAGUGGAGCAAUCCAUGAGUAAAGUGGCGACCGGGUGAGUAACACGUGACUAACCUACCUUCGAGUGGGGGAUAACCUCGGGAAACCGAGGCUAAUACCGCAUAACAUCGCAAGAUCAAAGCAGCAAUGCGCUGGAAGAGGGGGUCGCGGCUGAUUAGCUAGUUGGCGGGGUAAUGGCCCACCAAGGCGAAGAUCGGUAGCCGGCCUGAGAGGGCGCACGGCCACACUGGAACUGAAACACGGUCCAGACUCCUACGGGAGGCAGCAGUGGGGAAUUUUGCGCAAUGGGGGAAACCCUGACGCAGCAACGCCGCGUGGAGGAUGAAGCCCCCUUGGGGUGUAAACUCCUUUCGACCAAGACGAUAAUGACGGUACUGGUGGAAGAAGCACCGGCUAACUCUGUGCCAGCAGCCGC